Molecule: small RNA, 773 nt
Filed under: Pongo abelii (Sumatran orangutan)
Lineage: Eukaryota; Metazoa; Chordata; Mammalia; Primates; Hominidae
Description: processed transcript
Source: RNAcentral
UAGAAGAUUAGCUACAAAGAUAGAGGUGACUAAUAAUAAUGACUGGUAAUUUUUAGAAAGGCUAUCAUUAUAUCCAUUUUGUGUCACUGUUUUUAUAAAAUUCAGGAAAUGGUGGAACUGUUUUUCCUGACUUGUUUCAGAACCAGACAUCUAAAGCAUAUCAUUGACAUUUUAUUUCAUUAUUUUUAUUUUUUUCUUUUUCUCAUUGGCUGUGACUCUAGCCAAUGAAACGUUUUAUAUAAUCGUUAAGUUCUUUACACUAUCAAUUUAUAAUUAUGAAACCAUGAGUGUGAUAUACAACAAAGUAUAUUAUCUUACAGAUAAAGAACUAUAUGCUUGGAUGAAGUGUGUGAAGGGACAGCCUCAUGAUCACAAACAUUUAAUGCCAACCCAAAUUAUACCUGGUUCUGUUUUGACAGAUCUUCUAGAUGCCAUGCACACUCUUAGGGAAAAAUAUGGUAUUAAAUCCCAUUGUCAUUGUACUAACAAACAGAAUUUACAAGUUGGAAAUUUUCCUACAAUGAAUGGUGUAUCUCAAGUGAGUAAAAAUCUCUGGUUAUUCAAAUAAAAUCUGUGAUUAAAUUAGUCAACUUUGAUAUUUAUUUGAAAUUUGGUAUAGGACUUAUGUAUGAAUUAGGUUUGCUGUGUUUCUGUGUAAAUUUUUUGUAUCUAUACUACUAAUUGAAUAAUUGAAGAAAGUGUUUAAAAAUGUAAUUGUUCUACCUUUGUAGGUUUUACAGAAUGUUCUUAAUCACAGUAAUAAAAUUUCUCUG